This 483-nucleotide ribosomal RNA is filed under the name Triticum aestivum (bread wheat). Its description in RNAcentral is "partial small subunit ribosomal RNA". Lineage: Eukaryota; Viridiplantae; Streptophyta; Magnoliopsida; Poales; Poaceae. The record is from RNAcentral.
AUGGCCGUCACCCUAUGGUCAAUUUGGUACACAAGACGCAAGGCAGUGUACGAGUCGUUAUUUCAGAGCCCUCAGCAAACUAUCUGCUUUGUGCACAACUUUAUUUCAGAACUGGGCCAGCUUGACAAUGGUCAGGGACGUAGGGAGGCAAGAGCACUCCCACGGGCUCAGCCUAAACGAUGGCUACCCCCACCCGAUGGUUUUGUGAAGAUUAAUGUCGAUGCUGCUAUUGUAAGAUCACAAUGUGGUGGAGCUGUCGCAGCAUUCUGCAGAGAUCAAACGUGCCAAUACUUGGGAUCUUCGGUUGUGGUCUUUCGAGGCAUCAAUGACCCUCUAAUUCUGGAGACUUUUGCAUGUCGUGAAGCGUUAUCACUAGCAGAUGAUCUGGCCGUCCAAAAUAUUUGUGUGCCAUUGGAUUGCCAAGAAGUGGUGAAUGAUAUUACCAAGGAGACAAGAGGCCCAAACGCGGGCAUGGAACUUUAA